RNAcentral lists this ribosomal RNA (497 nucleotides) under uncultured bacterium. RNAcentral's name for it is "partial 16S ribosomal RNA". It matches the Rfam family "Bacterial small subunit ribosomal RNA", at positions 28 to 507 of the family's 1533-position model. The record is from RNAcentral.
GAUGAACGCUGGCGGCGUGCCUAAUACAUGCAAGUCGAGCGAACAGACGAGAAGCUUGCUUCUCUGAUGUUAGCGGCGGACGGGAGAGUAACACGAGGAUAACCUACCUAUAAGACUGGGAAAACUUCGGGAAACCGGAGCUAAUACCGGAUAAUAUUUUGAACCGCAUGGUUCAAAAGUGAAAGACGGUCUUGCUGUCACUUAUAGAUGCAUCCGCGCUGCAUUAGGUAGUUGGGAAGGUAACGGCCUAGCAAGGCAACUAUGCGUGACCGACCUGAGGGACGGAUCGCCCACCCUGGAAGUGAGACACGGUCCAGAGGCCUACGGGAGGCAGCAGUAGGGAAUCUUCCGCAGCGGGCGAGAGCCUGGCGGAGCAACGCCGCGUGAGUUAUGAAGGUCUUGCGAUCGUAAUACUCUGUUAUUAGGGAAGAACAUAUGUGUAAGUAACUGUGCACAUCUUGACGGUAACUAAUCAGAAAGCCACGGCUAACUACGUG